CCGCCCGUCACACCACGAAAGCCCGCUGCAACAGAAAUCGGUGAUUCAACCCGCAAGGGAGAUAGCCGCCCAUGGUAUGGCUGGUGACUGGGGUG
This 95-nucleotide ribosomal RNA is filed under the name uncultured bacterium. RNAcentral describes it as "partial 16S ribosomal RNA". The record is from RNAcentral.